UAGGGAAUCUUCCACAAUGGACGCAAGUCUGAUGGAGCAACGCCGCGUGAGUGAAGAAGAUCUUCGGAUACGUAAACUCUGUUGUUAGAGAAGAACACGAGUGAGAGUAACUGUUCAUUCGAUGACGGUAUCUAACCAGCAAGUCACGGCUAACUACGUGCAG
Molecule: ribosomal RNA, 163 nt
Filed under: uncultured bacterium
Lineage: Bacteria
Description: partial 16S rRNA
Rfam family: Bacterial small subunit ribosomal RNA
Source: RNAcentral